CUACGGGCGGCUGCAGUGGGGAAUAUUGGACAAUGGGGGCAACCCUGAUCCAGCCAUGCCGCGUGUGUGAAGAAGGCCUUUUGGUUGUAAAGCACUUUAAGCAGGGAGGAGAGGCUAAUGGUUAAUACCCAUUAGAUUAGACGUUACCUGCAGAAUAAGCACCGGCUAACUCUGUGCCAGCAGCCGCGGUAAUACAGAGGGUGCGAGCGUUAAUCGGAAUUACUGGGCGUAAAGCGAGUGUAGGUGGCUCAUUAAGUCACAUGUGAAAUCCCCGGGCUUAACCUGGGAACUGCAUGUGAUACUGGUGGUGCUAGAAUAUGUGAGAGGGAAGUAGAAUUCCAGGUGUAGCGGUGAAAUGCGUAGAGAUCUGGAGGAAUACCGAUGGCGAAGGCAGCUUCCUGGCAUAAUAUUGACACUGAGAUUCGAAAGCGUGGGUAGCAAACAGGAUUAGAUACCCCAGUAGUC
Molecule: ribosomal RNA, 465 nt
Filed under: uncultured bacterium
Lineage: Bacteria
Description: partial 16S ribosomal RNA
Rfam family: Bacterial small subunit ribosomal RNA
Source: RNAcentral